GGGACACGUGGUAUCCUGUCUGAAUAUGGGGGGACCAUCCUCCAAGGCUAAAUACUCCUGACUGACCGAUAGUGAACCAGUACCGUGAGGGAAAGGCGAAAAGAACCCCGGCGAGGGGAGUGAAAAAGAACCUGAAACCGUGUACGUACAAGCAGUGGGAGCACGCUUAGGCGUGUGACUGCGUACCUUUUGUAUAAUGGGUCAGCGACUUAUAUUCUGUAGCAAGGUUAACCGAAUAGGGGAGCCGAAGGGAAACCGAGUCUUAACUGGGCGUUAAGUUGCAGGGUAUAGACCCGAAACCCGGUGAUCUAGCCAUGGGCAGGUUGAAGGUUGGGUAACACUAACUGGAGGACCGAACCGACUAAUGUUGAAAAAUUAGCGGAUGACUUGUGGCUGGGGGUGAAAGGCCAAUCAAACCGGGAGAUAGCUGGUUCUCCCCGAAAGCUAUUUAGGUAGCGCCUCGUGAAUUCAUCUCCGGGGGUAGAGCACUGUUUCGGCAAGGGGGUCAUCCCGACUUACCAACCCGAUGCAAACUGCGAAUACCGGAGAAUGUUAUCACGGGAGACACACGGCGGGUGCUAACGUCCGUCGUGAAGAGGGAAACAACCCAGACCGCCAGCUAAGGUCCCAAAGUCAUGGUUAAGUGGGAAACGAUGUGGGAAGGCCCAGACAGCCAGGAUGUUGGCUUAGAAGCAGCCAUCAUUUAAAGAAAGCGUAAUAGCUCACUGGUCGAGUCGGCCUGCGCGGAAGAUGUAACGGGGCUAAACCAUGCACCGA
Molecule: ribosomal RNA, 777 nt
Filed under: Escherichia coli
Lineage: Bacteria; Pseudomonadati; Pseudomonadota; Gammaproteobacteria; Enterobacterales; Enterobacteriaceae
Description: partial 23S ribosomal RNA
Rfam family: Bacterial large subunit ribosomal RNA
Source: RNAcentral